CCCUUUCUACCCACCUCUAAAAUAUGUAUAUAUUUGUCUUUCUUCAAUGAAGGCAGACAAAAUCAAGACCUCAUAGGGUGACCUGGCAAUUCCUCCAAGGUGCAGUGCCACGUGGCACACAGGAACAUUCAUCUCCCGACCUCUGUGAGAGAACAGAACUGUUUUUCUUUCACAGAACUCAAUUUUAUUUUUACAAGAAUGCAAUGCCAUUGCUACUACCUCUCUUCCCUCCUCCCCCAUUUAUCUCUACCCUGCUGAAGAUGAGCUUUCCAUUCCUACUUUUCUCACUUCACCCCAACACUCUCGGGCUGCCCCGGGCCCCCUCCCUGAGCUCGCUCACAGCAGGUUGUGGUGGGCGGUCGUCUUGCUUCGAGCUCCUCAAGCUGGAAAACUCUGCCAGAGUGAAUCACUUCGCUGCCUUAUUACAGCAGUUAGAAGCAAGCCAAAACUUGCCGUUCACCAGAGCUUGGAAAUCUGUGCCAAGAACUUCAUCAAUAACUGAAAGGCUGAAAGAAAUGCAAAGAGCAAACUUCUGGACAGGCAGAAUGAAAAAAAAUAAGGAAAACGUCCAAUAAAUUCUCAUCAGAAACAAAAUGUCUCCAAGCUUUUAUAGGUGAGGCUUAAAAGUGAAGUAACUUCUGACAUUUUCAAGGAAGUACCAGGCUUCUAAAAGCUUUAAGACAAAUCUGAAAUGGACACUCUAGAGUCUCAAAAUCACAUAUUCUAUAAGCACCCUUUAGCUCAGUCUUUUGUAUAUUAAACACAUUUGUCUAGAUUUCUGAUGGUGCUUUUAAAUCCCUUAAAUUCUGCUAUUUUAAUAACUUUAUUUUUACAAUUUUUAGUAGUUGCUGGUAAUUGACAAGUUGCUACAAGUUUAAUUUCACUGAUGAUAUUCUUAUAUAUUUGUGUUUAAUAUUGUAGGGCUAGGCAGCAAUGUCCCCUCUACUUACAUUAUCUAGUAUUUUCCAUGGUAGGAAAUAUUGUGUUUAGCUUUUAAUUCUUUAGGUGUUGGGAAGCUUUGAUGACUGAAUGCCUGGAGCUGCCCUUUGAAAUUGGUCAGGGAUAAAAUUCCAAAUCUGUAUAAGUGCUUCUUCUUUGUCCUGUGAAAUUAUGCAGCGAUUUUCUGGUCUCAGAUGCUGACAUUC
Molecule: long non-coding RNA, 1145 nt
Filed under: Junco hyemalis (dark-eyed junco)
Lineage: Eukaryota; Metazoa; Chordata; Aves; Passeriformes; Passerellidae
Description: lncRNA (ENSJHYG00000007464.1)
Source: RNAcentral